RNAcentral lists this ribosomal RNA (485 nucleotides) under uncultured bacterium. RNAcentral describes it as "partial 16S ribosomal RNA". It matches the Rfam family "Bacterial small subunit ribosomal RNA", at positions 28 to 523 of the family's 1533-position model. The record is from RNAcentral.
GGUGAACGCUGGCGGCGUGCUUAACACAUGCAAGUCGAACGAGAACGGAAUAUAGCUUGCUAUAUUUGUCAGCUAAGUGGCGCACGGGUGAGUAAUGUAUAGAUAACCUGCCCUUAAGAAAGGAAUAACAGUUGGAAACGACUGCUAAUGCCCUAUAUGCCUUUAAUACAUAAGUAUGCAAGGGAAACGCUUUAGUGCUUAAGGAUGUGUCUUUAUGGUAUCAGCUUGUUGGUGAGGUAAGGGCUCACCAAGGCUAUGACGCCUAACUGGUUUGAGAGGAUGAUCAGUCACACUGGAACUGAGACACGGUCCAGACUACUACGGGAGGCAGCAGUGGGGAAUAUUGCACAAUGGACGAAAGUCUGAUGCAGCAACGCCGCGUGGAGGAUGACACAUUUCGGUGCGUAAACUCCUUUUAUAUAGGAAGAUAAUGACGGUACUAUAUGAAUAAGCACCGGCUAACUCCGUGCCAGCCGCCGCCGUAA